This 30-nucleotide non-coding RNA is filed under the name Rattus norvegicus (Norway rat). Lineage: Eukaryota; Metazoa; Chordata; Mammalia; Rodentia; Muridae. The record is from RNAcentral.
UAGAAGGACCUACAGGGCUUGUGUUUGAAU